Molecule: ribosomal RNA, 253 nt
Filed under: uncultured bacterium
Lineage: Bacteria
Description: partial 16S ribosomal RNA
Rfam family: Bacterial small subunit ribosomal RNA
Source: RNAcentral
UACGUAGGGUCCGAGCGUUGUCCGGAAUUAUUGGGCGUAAAGGGCUCGUAGGCGGUCUGUUGCGUCGGGAGUGAAAACUUACAGCUUAACUGUGAGCGUGCUUCCGAUACGGGCAGACUUGAGGUAUUCAGGGGAGAACGGAAUUCCUGGUGUAGCGGUGAAAUGCGCAGAUAUCAGGAGGAACACCGGUGGCGAAGGCGGCUUUCUGGACAGAUACCGACGCUGAGGCACGAAAGCUAGGGGAGCAAACAGG